RNAcentral lists this ribosomal RNA (889 nucleotides) under uncultured bacterium. RNAcentral describes it as "bacterial SSU rRNA". It matches the Rfam family "Bacterial small subunit ribosomal RNA", at positions 1 to 881 of the family's 1533-position model. The record is from RNAcentral.
UAGAGUUUGAUCAUGGCUCAGGAUGAACGCUGGCGGCGUGCUUAACACAUGCAAGUCGAACGGAGUCAUCAUUUUUGAAGCAAUUAGCUUGCUAAGAGUGGAAAUGUUGAUGACUUAGUGGCGGACGGGUGAGUAACGCGUGGGUAACCUGCCAUAUACAGGGGGAUAACACUUAGAAAUAGGUGCUAAUACCGCAUAAGCGCACAGUUUUGCAUGAGACAGUGUGAAAAACUACGGUGGUAUAUGAUGGACCCGCGUCUGAUUAGCUGGUUGGUGGGGUAACGGCCCACCAAGGCGACGAUCAGUAGCCGGCCUGAGAGGGUGGACGGCCACAUUGGGACUGAGACACGGCCCAAACUCCUACGGGAGGCAGCAGUGGGGAAUAUUGGACAAUGGGGGAAACCCUGAUCCAGCGACGCCGCGUGAGUGAAGAAGUAUUUCGGUAUGUAAAGCUCUAUCAGCAGGGAAGAAAAAAAUGACGGUACCUGACUAAGAAGCCCCGGCUAACUACGUGCCAGCAGCCGCGGUAAUACGUAGGGGGCAAGCGUUAUCCGGAUUUACUGGGUGUAAAGGGAGCGUAGACGGCAGGGCAAGUCUGAUGUGAAAGGUCGGGGCCCAACCCCGGGACUGCAUUGGAAACUGUCCGGCUGGAGUACAGGAGAGGUAAGUGGAAUUCCUAGUGUAGCGGUGAAAUGCGUAGAUAUUAGGAGGAACACCAGUGGCGAAGGCGGCUUACUGGACUGUAACUGACGUUGAGGCUCGAAAGCGUGGGGAGCAAACAGGAUUAGAUACCCUGGUAGUCCACGCCGUAAACGAUGAUUACUAGGUGUCGGUGGGCAUGGGCCCAUCGGUGCCGCAGCCAACGCAAUAAGUAAUCCACCUGGGGAGU